This 232-nucleotide long non-coding RNA is filed under the name Nicotiana benthamiana. RNAcentral describes it as "long non-coding RNA (NBEN_LNC001475)". The record is from RNAcentral. Lineage: Eukaryota; Viridiplantae; Streptophyta; Magnoliopsida; Solanales; Solanaceae.
CAGGGACAUCAGAAGAAUAUACAAAAAGGGGACUAGAAGAGUCUAGGGAAGGGGAGGCACCAGUACUUGUGUUAGAAGCCAUAGUCAAUGAACCAGCUUAAAUGAACAACUUUUUCAACAAACAGAAUACAACCAAAAUAGGUAUCCACAUACAACAACCAACAAAUAGAAUACAUUCAAGUCAGGUAUUCACAGACAACACCAGAUGCUCACAAGUACACAGUCAAACAAU